AGUGAACGCUGGCGGUAGGCCUAACACAUGCAAGUCGAACGGCAGCACAGUAAGAGCUUGCUCUUACGGGUGGCGAGUGGCGGACGGGUGAGGAAUACAUCGGAAUCUACUUUUUCGUGGGGGAUAACGUAGGGAAACUUACGCUAAUACCGCAUACGACCUACGGGUGAAAGCAGGGGAUCUUCGGACCUUGCGCGAUUGAAUGAGCCGAUGUCGGAUUAGCUAGUUGGCGGGGUAAAGGCCCACCAAGGCGACGAUCCGUAGCUGGUCUGAGAGGAUGAUAACGCACACUGGAACAGAGAGACAGUCCAGACACCUAAGGGAGGCACAAGUGGGGAAUAUUGGACAAAGGGGGCAAAACUGAUACAGCCAUACCGCGCGGGUGAAGAAAGCCUUCGGGUUGUAAAACGCUUUUGUUGGGAAAGAAAAGCAGCAGGUUAAUACCCCGCUGUUCUGACGGUACCCAAAGAAUAAGCACCGGCUAACUUCGUG
RNAcentral lists this ribosomal RNA (492 nucleotides) under uncultured bacterium. RNAcentral describes it as "partial 16S ribosomal RNA". It matches the Rfam family "Bacterial small subunit ribosomal RNA", at positions 29 to 507 of the family's 1533-position model. The record is from RNAcentral.